AUGGGUGCACGGCUCAUUUGCUAUGUAGCACUUUGCCUCCUGGGGGCAGGCUCUUUUGAUGCUGCAGUUACACAGAAGCCAAGAUAUUUGAUCAAAAUGAAAGGCCAGGAAGCAGAGAUGAAAUGUAUCCCUGAAAAGGGGCACACUGCUGUUUUCUGGUAUCAACAAAAGCAGAGCAAAGAAUUAAAGUUCCUGAUUUACUUUCAGAAUCAACAGCCUCUUGAUCAAAUAGACAUGGUCAAGGAGAGAUUCUCAGCUGUGUGCCCCUCCAGCUCACUCUGCAGCCUGGGAAUCAGAACGUGCGAAGCAGAAGACUCAGCACUGUACUUGUGCUCCAGCAGUCAAUC
Mus musculus (house mouse) is the source of this 347-nucleotide non-coding RNA. The record is from the annotation of a RefSeq genome assembly. NCBI's taxonomy places the organism in Eukaryota, Metazoa, Chordata, Mammalia, Rodentia, Muridae.